GUGGAUGUAGCUCAGUAGGUUAGAGUGCUGGAUUGUGGUUCCAGAGGUCGCCGGUUCGAACCCGGUCUUCCACCCA
RNAcentral lists this transfer RNA (76 nucleotides) under Bacteroidota bacterium. Its description in RNAcentral is "Bacteroidetes bacterium tRNA-His". It matches the Rfam family "tRNA". Rfam says of the family: Transfer RNA (tRNA) molecules are approximately 80 nucleotides in length. Their secondary structure includes four short double-helical elements and three loops (D, anti-codon, and T loops). The record is from RNAcentral. Lineage: Bacteria; Pseudomonadati; Bacteroidota.